CGCGUAGGCGGUUCGGUAAGUUGCUGGUGAAAUCCCGGGGCUCAACUCCGGGGCUGCCGGCACGACUGCCGGACUUGAGCACGGUAGGGGCAGAUGGAAUUCCCGGUGUAGCGGUGGAAUGCGUAGAGAUCGGGAAGAAUACCAGUGGCGAAGGCGUUCUGCUGGGCCGUUGCUGACGCUGAUGCGCGACAGCGUGGGGAGCAAACA
This 207-nucleotide ribosomal RNA is filed under the name uncultured bacterium. RNAcentral describes it as "partial 16S ribosomal RNA". It matches the Rfam family "Bacterial small subunit ribosomal RNA", at positions 568 to 774 of the family's 1533-position model. The record is from RNAcentral.